AGGACGAACGCUGGCGGCGUGCUUAACACAUGCAAGUCGAGCGGUAAGGCCUUUCGGGGUACACGAGCGGCGAACGGGUGAGUAACACGUGGGUGAUCUGCCCUGCACUCUGGGAUAAGCCUGGGAAACUGGGUCUAAUACCGGAUAUGACCUGCUCUCGCAUGGGGGUGGGUGGAAAGAUUUAUCGGUGCAGGAUGGGCCCGCGGCCUAUCAGCUUGUUGGUGGGGUAAUGGCCUACCAAGGCGACGACGGGUAGCCGACCUGAGAGGGUGACCGGCCACACUGGGACUGAGACACGGCCCAGACUCCUACGGGAGGCAGCAGUGGGAAUCUUGCGCAAUGGGCGAAAGCCUGACGCAGCCAUGCCGCGUGAAUGAUGAAGGUCUUAGGAUUUGUAAAAUUCUUUACACCGAGGAACGAUAAUGACGUACUCGGAGAAGAACGCCCGGCUAACCUUCGUACCACGCAGCCGC
This 473-nucleotide ribosomal RNA is filed under the name uncultured soil bacterium. Its description in RNAcentral is "bacterial SSU rRNA". It matches the Rfam family "Bacterial small subunit ribosomal RNA", at positions 26 to 518 of the family's 1533-position model. The record is from RNAcentral.